This 253-nucleotide ribosomal RNA is filed under the name uncultured bacterium. RNAcentral's name for it is "partial 16S ribosomal RNA". It matches the Rfam family "Bacterial small subunit ribosomal RNA", at positions 524 to 776 of the family's 1533-position model. The record is from RNAcentral.
GACAGAGGGUGCAAACGUUGUUCGGAAUCACUGGGCAUAAAGCGCACGUAGGCGGUCCGUUAAGUCAGGUGUGAAAGCCCCCGGCUCAACCGGGGAAUGGCAUUUGAUACUGGCGGGCUCGAGGAUGGCAGGGGUGAGCGGAACUCCAGGUGGAGCGGUGAAAUGCGUAGAUAUCUGGAGGAACACCGGUGGCGAAAGCGGCUCACUGGACCAUAUCUGACGCUGAGGUGCGAAAGCUAGGGUAGCAAACGGG